This is a long non-coding RNA of Gadus morhua (Atlantic cod), 2751 nucleotides long. RefSeq lists it as uncharacterized. The transcript is spliced from 2 exons. NCBI's taxonomy places the organism in Eukaryota, Metazoa, Chordata, Actinopteri, Gadiformes, Gadidae. The record is from RefSeq and is a predicted model, not a curated record.
AGAGAGAGAGAGAGAGAGAGAGAGAGAGAGAGAGAGAGAGAGAGAGAGGGGGUCACCGAGAGAGAUAACGACGGUGAUGAUGAUGAUGAUGAUGAUGAUGAUGAUGAUGAUGAUGAUGAUGAUACAAAGGGACGGCUCCUUUGCCUCCGACUCCUCUUCCUCCCCCCAAGGCGCACCAUCCCCUCCCCCCCAGCUGCCCCCCCGCCCGGCCCCAGAGGAGGGCCGAGGACUCAGAACCCACCGACGGUUCUACUGACUGACCCCUGACCCCUGACCACGCCCAUUUCCUCCACUGGACCCUCCCCCCCCCGACCCGAGUCAGCAGAACUAGCCCGGCCACCCAAUCGCUAAGGACAUCCAUCGUGUUCGGCCAGCUGUGAUUGGCUAGUGAAAAGGGGCGUGUCCCGCUCCCCUUCCCCUUCGGUGGUGAUUGGUUGACUUCCGGUGGCCGCACUUCCUGUCUCUCCACCGUUGCCACCCAGCUCGACGUCUUCUCUGCAUCACUUAAUUUAGCUUUACUCCCUGACGUCUGUCGGACAGACGGUAACUGGAACGUUAGGAUUUUUUUAUUAUUAUUAUCGUUAGUAAAUUGUGUGUGAAAAAAAGGGACAUUUGUUCGUACGUGUGGUGACGGGGCUUUGCUCUCUUCGGAUGUUCGUCUGUGCUUGAAUAAGUGCUUUUCGAAGGUACCACAUGACUGAAUGAUGUGACCCUCAGCUCAUUAUCUACUUUGCACAGGCUGAUGAUGAUGAUGAUGAUGAUGAUGAUGAUGAUGAUGAUGAUGAUGAUGAUGAUGAUGAUGACGAUGAUGCGUCCUCGCGUAGGACGUCGAUUGUGUCCGUCGUUCUGACCUUUGUAGAAUCAGACGCAGAGAAGGAAUUGUAAAACCAAUAAGAUUGCAAACCCCACACGGGCCACAAGGGGUGCAAGAGAGUUGUCGGAAGUGUCCGAAAAAAUAGUUUAUUCUUACUUUGUUCAACUCGUAUAACAAUCUCACCCUUUAAGAUUCACAGAAGAUGGUUAUAUAUGCAGCAGAUGUAAGGCAUAAAGAUAGGAUAGUGGUUUCUGGCAGGUAGAGCUAUAAACCAGUGGUUCACGGACGGCUCAUGCCAGAAUCGGCUGUCCAGGUCGAACUACGACGACCGACGGAAGAAACUGAUCCCACUGAUCAACCACCGCUUGGGGCUUCAAGUCCGAACGAGUUUAGUGCCUGCUGCCCAUCCCUGUUCCUGUACAAAGUAAAAGCCAUGUCUGUACCGCUAAAGCCAUUCUCCUUGUGUUGCCGUGUCGCUCCAGUUCUCGAAAGAAGAAACACAUGCUUUCAGAUGACCUGAUCUCACGUGUUAGUUUCUGGAAUUUUUUGUGUUAAAAAAAAAAGUUCUUAGAAAUGUUACGACAUGCGAUAAAAUCCUUUCCGGCUGUCGAGACGGACGUUUGAAAACGAACCAGAAGCAUGUUCAGUAUUUUUCGGGGGGGGCCGAAAAAGAAAUUGCAUCAAGAAAUGCGGCCUCAUCAUUAAGGGGGGUUUUGUGGAACACAAUAUUCUCUUGUUAUGAUGUCUGUGUCUUCGUUGUCACUGUAAAGACCGACUACUAUAAUCCCGGUCCGAAUGCAGCCGGGUAAAGUCGGACCACUUGCAUGCGGUCGCCAUACUGUGUCGUCCAUUGUGUACAACACUGCGCCGGGUUCAGAAGCGCUCAGGGAUUUAUGCAGCAGCACUGUGUUUAAGCUCGCUAACUUGUUCCUUGUUUUUCCUGUGACUGUGAUUUGGGUUUGUUUGUGGUGUUUUUGUGUGAAUUUUCUUGUUCUUUGGGGGCUGGGAGUUUGAGCAUCGCAGUACGAGACGAAAAACGGUUUUGGGAACCUGAGUGACUCUAUUCCGAACUUUUACCGAAGUUCGGAAUUAUUUUGUGUUUCGGUUGGAUCGGUUUUGCUUUUUCUCGGCUCAAACGGAGGAGGAAGCUGAUCUUUAGUUUUGGAUGAUGUCAGAUCUCGCCGAGGUGUCGGAGGCAUCUUGUCGCUCGGACAUAUCGGAUGCAAACCCUUCUCUUCGCUAACCCCUUUAUCGUGAUUCUAAGCCAAAUCCCAGCGCUUUGUGGGUAGAAUGACAGGCGGAACUGGAGAUGAAAUGUUGCGUCGACGUUUACAGAUGGCACUGGUAAACUCUGUGUUGUGCGGUGGGAUGUUAGCGAUGGAAGGAAACAGAAUACAUUCUUUCAAAAGGGCUGACGACUAGCUGUCGACUAAUCCCGACAGUAAGCUAAUAUUUGUGUCCGCCCUGAUCGUAGUGCUGUCCAACCCCCCCUCUAUUUGGCUAGUGUCCCCCUUCAAAUAGCCCCCAACAUUUUGAACUCACGGUUUUAAAUCAGAUGUCAACUGCUUGGAAGUGGCAAGCAUGCCUCUGACGCAGGUGUGCAUGUGUGGGCGUGUGCAAGUGCAUGUAUGUGUGUGUGCGAGGGUGUGUGUGUGUCUGAAUGUUUGUGCGUGUGUGUGUGUGUGUUUGCAUGUGUCUGUGAGGGUGUGUGUGUGUGUGUGUGUUAAGUGCAUGCGUCCGUGUGUGUGUGUGUGCGUGUGUCUGUGUCUAAGUGGGUGCGUGUGUCUGUGUGUGGGGCAGGUAGUGGUGAGGUCAAGGUCAAGGCAUCAGGGUCAACUAUCAGGACAUCAAGAAGUCCUUCACCUUCUAGGCAGCAACGAUUGACUUUCCAUCUGAUCUACGUUUCACUUCAGUUUUCUACGUUACCUUCCUUUAAA